RNAcentral lists this transfer RNA (57 nucleotides) under Chromis delta (deep reef chromis). RNAcentral's name for it is "partial tRNA-Gly". Lineage: Eukaryota; Metazoa; Chordata; Actinopteri; Pomacentridae. The record is from RNAcentral.
AAAUUAGUACAUGUGACUUCCAAUCACCUUGUCUUGGUUAAAAUCCAAGGAGAGAUA